GUGUCUGCGUGUAAUCUCGCGUGUCUGGAUGCAGAAAGUUCUCUCUCAUCCUAAAUGUACAGCAGCCGUUCGACAAACAUCAUUUAGUAAAGAUGGAAGAUCCCACAAGAAUGGAGUUGUGAAAGUCCC
Molecule: long non-coding RNA, 129 nt
Organism: Xenia sp. Carnegie-2017
Lineage: Eukaryota; Metazoa; Cnidaria; Anthozoa; Malacalcyonacea; Xeniidae
Exons: 3
Source: RefSeq, a predicted model, not a curated record